UACGUAGGUGGCAAGCGUUGUCCGGAUUUAUUGGGUUUAAAGGGUGCGUAGGCGGUCCCAUAAGUCAGUGGUGAAAUACUCUAGCUUAACUAGAGGGGUGCCAUUGAUACUGCGGGACUUGAGUGGAGUUGAAGCGGGCGGAAUUGACGGUGUAGCGGUGAAAUGCUUAGAUAUCGUCAAGAACACCGAUAGUGAAGACAGCUCACUAAGCUCAAACUGACGCUGAGGCACGAAAGUGUGGGGAUCAAACAGG
Molecule: ribosomal RNA, 253 nt
Filed under: uncultured bacterium
Lineage: Bacteria
Description: partial 16S ribosomal RNA
Rfam family: Bacterial small subunit ribosomal RNA
Source: RNAcentral